RNAcentral lists this ribosomal RNA (1430 nucleotides) under uncultured bacterium. Its description in RNAcentral is "bacterial SSU rRNA". It matches the Rfam family "Bacterial small subunit ribosomal RNA". The record is from RNAcentral.
AGUUUGAUCCUGGCUCAGGAUGAACGCUGGCGGCGUGCCUUAGGCAUGCAAGUCGAACGGUUGAGUCCGCAAGGACAAGACAGUGGCAGACGGGUGAGUAACGCGUAGGAAUCUACCUCUGGGUGGAACAUAGCCCUCCGAAAGGAGGGGUAAUUUUCCAUAGUCUCGCAAGAGUAAAGGACUUAACGGUCCGCCGAGAGAGGAGCCUGCGUCCUAUCAGCUAGUUGGCGGGGUAAUGGCCCACCAAGGCGAUGACGGGUAGCUGGACUGAGAGGUCGAUCAGCCACAACUCCACUGAGACACGGGGAGUACACCUACGGGUGGCAGCAACCAGGAAUAUUGCGCAAUGGACGAAAGUCUGACGCAGCGACGCCGCGUGGAGGAAGAAGGCCUUAGGGUCGUAAACUCCUUUUAUUCAGCCCUUCACAGCUGAAAGAAUAAGCCUCUACUAACUACGUGCCAGAAGUCUCGGUAAUACGUAGGAGGCAAGCGUUAUCCGGAUUCAUUGGGCGUAAAGUGUGCGUAGGCGUCCCUAUAAGUCGUAUUUUAAAGACUAAGGCUUACCCUUAGAAAUGAGUACGAUACUGCAGGGAUUGAGGAUUGGCAAGGAUGCUGGAACAGUUAGUGUAGCAGUGAAAUGCGUUGAUAUUAACUGGAACACCAAGGGCGAAGGCAAGCAUCUGUGCUCUUCCUGACGCUGAGGCACGAAAGCUAGGGUAGCGAAACAGAUUAGAUACCUGUGUAGUCCUAGCCGUAAACGAUGUCCGCUAACUGUUUGGUCUUUAUUGGCUAAGCGGUUCAAGCUAACGCAUUAAGCGGACCGCGUGGGGAGUACGGCCGCAAGGCUAAAACUCAAAGGAAUUGACGGGGACCCGCACAACUGGUGGAGCGUGUGGUUUAAUUCGAGACGAAGCGAAAAACCUUACCAGGGUUUGACAUGUUACCGUACAUUUUCCUGGAAACAGGAAGAAAUCCGCAAGGAUGGUAAUGCAGGUGAUGCAUGGCUGUCGUCAGCUCGUGCCGUGAGGUGUUCCCUUAAGUGGGGAAACGAGCGCAACCCGCAUCUAAUGUUAAAUAUUCAUUAGGAACAGCCCCGAUUUUAUCGGGGAGGAAGGCGCGGAAGACGUCAAGUCAGCACGUCCCUUAUACCCUGGGUCACACACACCCUACAAUGGCGAACAACAAAGGGCUGCAAGCCGGUAACGGCAAGCUAAUCCCAGAAAUUUCGCCUCAGUUCAGAUUGAGGUCUGCAACCCGACCUCAUGAAGUCGGAAUCAGUAGUAAUCGCGGAUCAGAAGGCCGCGGUGAAUACGUUCUCGGGUCUUGUACACACCGCCCGUCAAGGCAGCAAAGUUGGGAGUGGAUGAAGCAUCCCGCAAGGGGUUCGAGUCCAAAUUCAGCGAUGAAGCUUAAGUCGUAACAAGGUAACC